This 253-nucleotide ribosomal RNA is filed under the name uncultured bacterium. RNAcentral's name for it is "partial 16S ribosomal RNA". It matches the Rfam family "Bacterial small subunit ribosomal RNA", at positions 524 to 776 of the family's 1533-position model. The record is from RNAcentral.
UACGAAGGGGGCUAGCGUUGCUCGGAAUCACUGGGCGUAAAGCGCACGUAGGCGGCCUCUUAAGUCGGUGGUGAAAUCCUGGAGCUCAACUCCAGAACUGCCUUCGAUACUGGGAGUCUCGAGUCCGGGAGAGGUGAGUGGAACUGCGAGUGUAGAGGUGAAAUUCGUAGAUAUUCGGAGGAACACCAGUGGCGAAGGCGGCUCACUGGUCCGGUACUGACGCUGAGGUGCGAAAGCGUGGGGAGCAAACAGG